Molecule: ribosomal RNA, 465 nt
Filed under: uncultured bacterium
Lineage: Bacteria
Description: partial 16S ribosomal RNA
Rfam family: Bacterial small subunit ribosomal RNA
Source: RNAcentral
GACGAACGCUGGCGGCGUGCUUAACACAUGCAAGUCGUACGGUAAGGCCCUUUCGGGGGUACACGAGUGGCGAACGGGUGAGUAACACGUGAGUAACCUGCCCACAACUUUGGGAUAACGCUAGGAAACUGGUGCUAAUACUGGAUAUGUGCUCCUGCUGCAUGGUGGGGGUUGGAAAGCUCCGGCGGUUGUGGAUGGACUCGCGGCCUAUCAGCUUGUUGGUGGGGUAGUGGCCUACCAAGGCGGCGGCGGGUAGCCGGCCUGAGAGGGUGACCGGGCACAUUUGGACUGAGAUACGGCCCAGACUCCUACGGGAGGCAGCAGUGGGGAAUAUUGCACAAUGGGCGCAAGCCUGAUGCAGCAACGCCGCGUGCGGGAGGACGGCCUUCGGGUUGUAAACCGCUUUCAGCAGGGACGAAGCUUUUUGUGACGGUACCUGCAGAAGAAGCACCGGCUAACUACGUG